UUUACAUUACAUAUACAUGUUCACAAGUAAUAGACUCGAGACCGUCAGCAGAGUGACUCUGGGUGAAGAUACAGCUACUGAGAUGCCAUAGUACCUACCAAGAAGACGAGCAUAUGUGUGCGACUCAAUCUAGGUCCCAACUGCCUCCAAAUCUGAAAACAUGAAUUUUAAAAAUGUGAGUACAAAACUCAGUGAGUGAACAUAAGAAGGGAACAAGCAAUCAAUAGGAAGAAUUUGGAAAUCGUGAUGCAUUUGUUUCAAAAACAAUGCACUUGAUUUAAUUUCUUACUAAAAACCCCUCAUUUCAAACCUUGAUUAAUACCCUCAUAGUGUUUCAUAAACCCAUAAUCAGUCCAUGAAGUUAAAUGGGUGAAAAGUAGGUCAAAAUCAACCAAGGUAGCAAGCAUGGCAGCAAGUUUCUCACUGCAGAAAAAUUCAUUCUCACUGCAGCGAGAUUCGGGCGGCCAAAAUAGAAAGUUUCUCGCUGUAGUGAGAAACAGUGUUAGUUUGCAUGUGUUUCGGUUUUUCUAGUAUAUCUCCCUAUACAUAACUCCAAUUGACUUGAUUUUUUAAUCAUUAGAAAGAUAAGAGGCAGAGAUACAACUUUUAUGUUUACCACUUUUCCCAGUUUGGAGAGGAAGGUUGUCAAAAUAUUCAUCAAAGUCAAGGCAUGUCAUCAGAACCUGAGAGUUUCUCGUUGCAAUGAUAUUUAUUUUCGCUGCAGCGAGUUUUCUGCUGCCAAAACAGAAUGUUUUUCACUGCAGUGAGAAGCAGGGCACCUAAGUGAAAAAAGGACCUCCUUUGCACAAAAAAUCCAUUUGGUGCUACAAUAAAGAUCAAUUUGCAAGAAAAUGAGAAUUUCUCAAGAUUCAUCAUGCCAAAAUUCACAUGCAUUUCAAUCAUAUAUCAUAUUCAUGAACUUUCAUUUCAUAAGCGUAGAUAUGCAUAAAUACAUAGAUAAACAUCAAUAUCAUCAUAAUCACACCCAGCUCAUGUGCAUCCCCCCACAUCGUGCACAUAGCCGGCACCAUCAUGUGCAUCCCCCCACAUUGUGCACAUAGCCAUCAUGUACAUCCCCCCACAUCAUGCACAAUGGCACUAUCAUCAUCCAUCUCCCACACCACUAUCAUCACCUGCAUGUUCCUCCCCCCACAUCGUGCACACACACAGUUAUAGUCAUCAUACACAAUAUCAACUAUCAUGCACAACAUAUAUAUAUAUAUAUAUAUAUAUAUAUUAUCAUAAUGCAAUAGUGCAUGAAUCCAUAACAACCACAUAUCACAACAUAAAACCAUUUAGCAAAAGCUUGUUCCCAAGGCACUUGUUUUAAGAAAAAGUUGUAUAAAAUCAUUCAAAUGCUUUGUACAAAACAGUCACAUUCCCAAAAUGAUUUUGAAAUGCAGUUCACUCACCGGUAUUUCUAAACCUCUAAUCGACUCUAACCUCCACUAAUGGUUCAAAUGGGCAAGUGCGGCCUUGUUGGAACCUAUACACACACAACAUCACAACCAAUCCAAUUUACAUUAAUAUCACUCCAAAAGCUAGUUUCUAAUUCAAAUUCUUCUACUCAUUCCUAAUUGGCUUCCAACUAUAUCAAAUGGCUAUUCCUUGUACUACUCUAAUCACACUAAACGUCACAACCUGGUACUCCCCUCGAGCCCAUGACAACCAUCGCGAUGUCCCGAUAGACAUUCGUUACCCGACGUGCCAACCGGAACCCUGCAAGGCUUUAGUGCCAUUUUUUUUUCAUCUCCCUUGUGAGUAAUCAUCGCCAAACCUCAUUUGUAAAGAAUUUUAAGCUUUUUCCCUUUCAAAACCGUGGAAAAAUAUUUUUCGCCUCACAAAGGCAUUUUCGUCAUUUUUUCUCGAAAUUUUUCAAACCUGACUAAAAAUGUAGUAGAUGAGUGGAAAACACAUACUUCGUGAUUUAAAAUAAAUUUGGGUGUCUAAAACAUUUAUUAAAAAUGAUAUUGCAACUAUUUGAAUAAAAUAAAAAUAUUCAAUAAAAUAUUCUAGUUUCUUGUAAAAUAAUAUUUAUAGUCAUCGGUAAAUAAUUUUUAUAAUGUAAACGCUAAAUAAAUUCAUACGUACUAUAAGACAGAUAACCAGGAUAUGAAAUUUACUUUACAGUGACUCGUGGGCCCAUAAGGAACAAAAGUGCACAAAGGCAGUAAACCUAUAGUUUUUGGAGUAGUAAAGCCGACUAUAAUCCUUGAUGAUAUCUACUAUCCACAGGCUACCUCGGGCCUGAAAUGGUUAAAAAGGAGGGUGGUGAGAUUAUAGAAUCCCAGUGAGUAAACAGAUACCAUCUAAACCAUCUAAAGUCGAGUAAAUGGAGGCAGAUAAAACAAUUUAACAUACUUAAAUUCAUCACCUUUCAACUUGUUUCAACCAAAUAAAAUCAAUUCAUAUAAAUCGAGUAAUUAACAUGGCUUAUGAAUUUCUUAAAACUUUGGCUCGUGCCAAAAUCAUUAUCAUACUCAGUCAUUAGGGAUACCUUACGCGAGAGCUAUCCCAAACCGAGUCCGCCAAGGCUGUUAAAAGUUAUGUACGCAUAAAUCAUGUUUUUAUUUUGAAAACAUAGCUGUUCCUUGGCGUUGGUUGAGUUCACCCUCACGUGGUGGUUUGGGUGAAGUGAACUCUAAAAUGUUAACCUCAGGAGUUAUCCAACUGCGCCUCUCAUACUGAGGUAAGAUAUGACGGGGUUUACCGUGCCCCUCUAAUAGGCUGGUCCACGAAAACCAGCCCACUGCAGCAAGCUCAACCCCACCAUAUAAUAAAAAUUCAACAACAUGACAUGGCUAUUUUUAUUAUUAUCCAGCCUAUCAAGGCAAACAAUAGUUUAUAUAUUUCAACACAAAUACCAAUUCAGCCAUUCAUGCCAAUAUUGUCAUAAGCCAAUCAAUUAGAAUCAUAAAUUCACAACACAUCAAAUGGUUUUCAAUUACUCUAUUUUCAAAGCCAUUAUUCAAUUUCAAGACAAUUUUAUAAAAUUAUUUCAUUUAAUCACAUUUUUGCUUAUAAAACAUAAAGAUUUGCCAUUUAAACUCAUUUUUCAUAAAUCACAAAAUCGGAUAAAAACCACUUUAGAUAAUUAACACGAUAGUAAGGUUACUCACAGUACUAAGAGUUCGAUAUACUCCUAUUCCCGAUCUUCGAGCACAAUCUCUUUACCCUUGUUAGAGGGCUCACCAUCUAUACAUCAUACGUGACACGAAUUUCAAUAAAUUGUGUCAAUUUAUCAUAAACUAUUUCAAGCUCUAUAAAUCUAUAUGAAUGCACUAAAUGUGAUGCAAAAUGUCCGAAUAGCUGUUUAAAUACGAUAUUCGACCUAAUUUGCACUAUUCUCGGUGUAAUUGGCUAAAACCUCCAAUUUAACUCCAAAUCAAUUUCUUUUACUUUCUACACUCCAAUUAUACUUAAAAUACCUCAAUGACUGUGAAUAUGAUUCAAUUUAUUAGUCCGAACCAUAAAUCGCACAUGUCUAUACAUUAGGUAAACAUUCAGAUUUUCAUUCCAAAAUUUCCCAUUAAAUUUCUAGCCUCACCAAUCAUUAAAUACCACUAAAAUAUCAUGAAAUAUCAUCAAUUUCAGCCUCAAUAUCCUCCCUAGAAAACUCAGCCUCUUGUGGGUUUGUGAAGAACAAAGUGAUUCCUUGCUAGAUUUUCAUACUUUCCAUUACCAAACAACCAAAAACACUUAAUUAGCUUGAAAUCUAGCAAAAUCAAUGCUCAAAACCUCUCCUCUCAAAUUUGGCCAGCAUUGGUUCAUCAUGUAAACUUGAGUUCUAAGCAUGGAAAAUGAAAAAGAAAGCAUGGGUAGUGUAAAUCACAAGGUAAAAUCACAAAAUCUUACCUUUAUUAGCUUAAUCCCUUGAAAUCCCACACUUUUUCUUCAAUUUUCCUACCUAGGGUUUGUGUUCUUUCCUUUCCUCUUCAGUUCAUGCUUUGGC
Molecule: long non-coding RNA, 3952 nt
Filed under: Theobroma cacao (cacao)
Lineage: Eukaryota; Viridiplantae; Streptophyta; Magnoliopsida; Malvales; Malvaceae
Description: long non-coding RNA (TCAC_LNC005410)
Source: RNAcentral